Molecule: ribosomal RNA, 750 nt
Filed under: uncultured bacterium
Lineage: Bacteria
Description: bacterial SSU rRNA
Rfam family: Bacterial small subunit ribosomal RNA
Source: RNAcentral
GUCGAACGGUAGAGGGGGCAACCCCUUGAGAGUGGCGAACGGGUGAGUAAUGUAUCGGAACGUGCCCAGUCGUGGGGGAUAACGUAGUGAAAAUUACGCUAAUACCGCAUACGAUCUAUGGAUGAAAGCGGGGGAUCGCAAGACCUCGCGCGAUUGGAGCGGCCGAUAUCAGAUUAGGUAGUUGGUAGGGUAAAGGCCUACCAAGCCAACGAUCUGUAGCUGGUCUGAGAGGACGACCAGCCACACUGGAACUGAGACACGGUCCAGACUCCUACGGGAGGCAGCAGUGGGGAAUUUUGGACAAUGGGCGAAAGCCUGAUCCAGCCAUUCCGCGUGCAGGAUGAAGGCCCUCGGGUUGUAAACUGCUUUUGUACAGAACGAAAAGGUUUCUAUUAAUACUAGGAGCUCAUGACGGUACUGUAAGAAUAAGCACCGGCUAACUACGUGCCAGCAGCCGCGGUAAUACGUAGGGUGCAAGCGUUAAUCGGAAUUACUGGGCGUAAAGCGUGCGCAGGCGGUUAUAUAAGUCAGAUGUGAAAUCCCCGGGCUCAACCUGGGAACUGCAUUUGAGACUGUAUAGCUAGAGUACGGUAGAGAGGGAUGGAAUUCCGCGUGUAGCAGUGAAAUGCGUAGAUAUGCGGAGGAACACCGAUGGCGAAGGCAAUCCCCUGGACCUGUACUGACGCUCAUGCACGAAAGCGUGGGGAGCAAACAGGAUUAGAUACCCUGGUAGUCCACGCCCUAAACGAU